GAUGAAGAACGUAGCGAAAUGCGAUAAGUAAUGUGAAUUGCAGAAUUCAGUGAAUCAUCGAAUCUUUGAACGCACAUUGCGCCCGCCAGUAUUCUGGCGGGCAUGCCUGUCCGAGCGUCAUUUCAACCAUCAAGCCCCCGGGCUUGUGUUGGGGACCUGCGGCUGCCCGCAGGCCCUGAAAACCAGUGGCGGGCUCGCUGUCACACCGAGCGUAGUAGCAAUCACCUCGCUCAGGGCGUGCUGCGGGUUCCGGCCGUUAAACAGCCUUACAAAACCCAAGGUUGACCUCGGAUCAGGUAGGAAGACCCGCUGAACUUAAGCAUAUCAAUAAGCGCAGGA
Molecule: unclassified non-coding RNA, 339 nt
Filed under: soil metagenome
Description: partial contains 5.8S ribosomal RNA, internal transcribed spacer 2, and large subunit ribosomal RNA
Rfam family: 5.8S ribosomal RNA (bases 1-120)
Source: RNAcentral